UCCUGAAACAGAUAAAAGUGGAUGUGAGAGUCAGAAGUUGAGGUCAGAUGAUCAGCAGCAGACUGGACCUCACAGCCCACACAGAACCACUAAAGGUGAGUCUGCUCCUGAAGUCUGAACUUGUUCCACAUGAAAACUCCACUGGGAUGAAUGUGAGCAGGAACAGUGAUGUUAGCUCUGAUCUCAGGUCCAGUUUCCUCCUGCUGGGCUCCACAGCUCAGAGGCUGCUUCUGGUUCUGGUCCCAGCAGUGAAGAAACAAAUGGACUUAGUUCCAUUCAUCACUUUGAUCUGACAGUAAAAACACAGGAUCAUCUGAGAAAAUAUAAAACUUCUUCACAACACUUUUACUGACACUUUUACACUUUUACUCAAGUGGACUUUUACUUGUAACAGAGUAUUUUUACUUUGUGUUUCUGCUUCUGUCACUUCAGUAAAGUAUCCCAGUACUUCUUCCACCACUGACUACUGUCCACAAACAUGGAGAUUAAAAUCACUGUCAGCUUCUUGGUGCUGGUCGGGUCCACAGUUAUUGGGCCCUGAUGGCAGCACAUCAACACAGUCGCAGGUUUUAUGAAGCGAGAGUCUGUUGAAGCUCCGACUGUGAAACAUAAAUAUACUUUAACUCAUUAAUAAAAGAACAGAAUCAAUAUUUAGAGCUUCUUAUAGACACAUAUAGACUGAGAGACAGUUUCACAUCUCCACACAGAGUUUUAAAUGAUAGAAUCAGAACAAUUCUUCUGUCUCAGCUCACUAAAGCUCACUAAAGAUCACAGCAGGAUCUAGAUUUGAUUUGAAAGGUUGAAGAGUUUGAUCAUUUAUGUUGCUGUGAAACAGGUUCGGUCCUGAUUUCUGAAUCUGAAUUCAUCCUUCAGCAUCAAAUCCUUCAGCAGAUCUCUGAUCAGCUUCUGCUGCUUUAAUAGUCACAAUUACUACAAUUAUAAGAUGAUCAUUAAUGUUGGAGACUUGUAGUUACAGCCUGAAUACAAUGGUGCUAAUUACAAGUUUUAAUUAGUGUCCAGUAGAAACUCAGUUCAAAGCUCCAUGAUCUCAUAUUAUUACAGGAACUAUCAUUGUGUUUAUUCACAGUUAAAGUUUGGUCCUAGUUUUCAGUGUGAGUUCAGUUUGUAGUUGAGAAAUAAAAGAAUGAAACCCUCAGUGAGUAAACUCUUCUCUUCCUGUUCUGUUGUGUGAUUCUUGUGUAACUGGGCUGCUGUAACGCUGCAGUUUGUGGUUGGGAUUAAUAAAGUCUCUCUCUAAUCUCUCUAAUCUAAACAGAGCUAACAGUGACGGCCUCUCUGACGGCUUCACUCUGCUGUUGCUGUGCUUUCUGUCUCCAGGGCUGCAGACCUGUUGGGAGGUUCAUCAGCAGCGUGGGACACACCUGGGCCUGAUGUGCUGCAUGUAUACAACUCCUUCACAACAUCUGCUCACACAUCUUUGUGUCCUGGCUUUUGGUUUCCUUUGGUUUGUUUUUACAGCUCAACAUCCACACAGCACAUCUUCACUCAUCCACUGCUGCACUACUGACUGCACUCACUCCUCCAGCUGUCUGUGAAACAACACGACCAGAACACAAUCUCACCUGGUUCUGAUCCGUUAUAAAGGACAGUUACAGGAUUAUAAAUGAAACAUGUUUCCUGUUCAUCACUUCUCUGCUGGUACAUGAGGAUUACAGAGUGUUUAAGAAGGAGAGAAACAUGAAGAGCAGAGAAACAGAAGCCUUAAUUACACCUCGUUACAUCGUUAGAUAAGAAAAGACAAGAAAACUUUUCUAACUUCUCCUUAAAAAACUCUUUUUCUGCCUCCCAUCAUGACAGAAACACAUCGACAGUGACGACUUUACAGCAGCUCCUCAACUUUAAACAUUUGAUGUGCGUCAUGUGAACUUUGUUUCUAUUCACAUUAAAUAAUAAAGAAAAUGUGUUAUGAAAUGUGAAACACAGGAUCAUUAAAAGCUCGUCUCCUUCUGUUAACAUAGUUUGUGUGUGGACACUUUAAUAGGAACACCUGUACAAUCUAAAGUAGGCUGAGCAACAUAAACAAUAUAAACUGUUGUCAUGAUAUGAGAAUAUAUAUUGUUUUAGAUAUUUGAUAUUCUCACAUGGUGAUAUAUCAAAACUGUUUCCUGGUUCUUAAGGCUCAUUAUACAACAAGUAGUUCCGAUGAAGCAAUCUGAUUGGUCAACAAGAUAUUUAGACCGAGCUCAAAUCAGCCUGACAGCACGUCUGACUCAUUACUCAAAAUAUUACUCCGCCAAGUCUGUGUAUCCGUCUCCAUGGCAACAUAGUAACUGUCAGCUGGAGCAAACAAAUAAAAACUACGGCUUAAAAACUCAAACUUUCUGCCGUAAAAUAUGCAGAGGAAAACUCUGGAGAAGCAGCUGCUAGACGUUCCUCUGUCGACCAGAAGAAAGUGAGAGAUUGGUGACAAAAUAAAACGGAGCUGUCCGAGGAGGACAGAACAGGACCAGGCUGCCUGGUGGAGGGAGGAAGAAGGCCAGCGAGGAGCCGGAGAUAAACAUGGGGGGACGGGUGAUCAGCAGACGGGCACGCCACGAGAGAGUGUCCCGCAAAAUGAUCAGGGCGAUGGAGAAACAAAUGUCCGCCACCGUGAGUGACAGCAGAGAUGAGGAGUUUGCUGUGAGUGCUGGUCGGCUGAAUCGUUUCCUCCGCCGCAACAACUUCACUUGCAGAAGACAAAUGUUGACCAGCAGGAUGCCAGAGAAUUCACCGAGAAGCUGGAGAAGUUUGGGACAUUUUCAUUCUGCAUUUCUCUGAGGAAGGAAUUAAACAACUGUCCCAAAUUGCCGCCUGGUCUGUAACAAAUAAACGCCCCGAUUAUUAUUUGGUAUUUUACGGCAUUUUAAGACCGCGAUAAAACAUUAACGUGAGCUCAGAGUUCACUCAUCUGGGACUAGAUAAUCCUUUCUGUUGCUCGGUCGUUACUAAGGGCUGGAUUAUCUGCUGGAGUGGUAAAGUGUGAACUCACAGACAGUCGGUGUGAAGGAUUUAAACAGUCAGCAGCAGAAGAGGCAGCUGUGGAGCUUCACUACAGGCCUCGUUUGUGGAAACUGCCUCUCAACUGGAAAGGAGCCACAAACUUGACAGAAAAGGAGGCUCAGAGUUCAGGACCACUUUCAGUCUGAGCUCCUCAGUGGACCUGAGCCCGGUACCAACAUCAUUCUUUUAUGUCACUGACAAAAAGAUUCAGUGAUGAAGAUCCUGUGACAUCAGAACCAGAAGCAGCUCCAGUGUGACUCCAGGAGACGGAGCUCAGAUGUGUUUCAGGACUCAAAGUUUCUCUGAUUAAUCAACUAAAUGAACUCAUGAAUCAAG
Acanthopagrus latus (yellowfin seabream) is the source of this 3336-nucleotide long non-coding RNA. RefSeq lists it as uncharacterized. The record is from RefSeq and is a predicted model, not a curated record. The transcript is spliced from 2 exons. NCBI's taxonomy places the organism in Eukaryota, Metazoa, Chordata, Actinopteri, Spariformes, Sparidae.